AGCGAACGCUGGCGGCAGGCCUAACACAUGCAAGUCGAACGGAUCCUUCGGGAUUAGUGGCGGACGGGUGAGUAACACGUGGGAACGUGCCCUUUGGUUCGGAACAACUCAGGGAAACUUGAGCUAAUACCGGAUGUGCCCUUCGGGGGAAAGAUUUGAUCUCCAUUGGAGCGGCCCGCGUCUGAUUAGCUAGUUGGUGAGGUAAAGGCUCACCAAGGCUACGAUCAGUAGCUGGUCUGAGAGGAUGAUCAGCCACAUUGGGACUGUGACACGGGCAGACCUCCGGCGCGAGGCGGAAGUUGGGAAUAUUGCUUACGGGGCGAAAGGCUGGCGCAGCCAUGCCACGUGAAUGAGGAAGGUCUUAGCAUUGUAAGAUUCUUUCACCGGGGACGAUACUGGCGGUACCCAGAGAGGAAGCCCCGGCCAACUUCGUGCCAGCAGCCGUGGUAA
RNAcentral lists this ribosomal RNA (450 nucleotides) under uncultured bacterium. Its description in RNAcentral is "partial 16S ribosomal RNA". It matches the Rfam family "Bacterial small subunit ribosomal RNA", at positions 29 to 523 of the family's 1533-position model. The record is from RNAcentral.